CUCUUAUCCUGAGCUGGUGGAGGGACAGGCCCAAUGAAACCCAGCAACCUGCUAUAAAAGAAAACCGAGAUUAAUCUCUCUGACAAACUUUCUUUCUAGCAAGGUGCUAACCUGACGCAAGGCAUAUGACCUUGAACGAUAAGAG
This 145-nucleotide non-coding RNA is filed under the name Bacillus sp. (in: firmicutes). RNAcentral's name for it is "Bacillus sp. SAM-I sequence". It matches the Rfam family "SAM riboswitch aptamer (S box leader)". From Rfam's summary of the family: The SAM riboswitch is found upstream of a number of genes which code for proteins involved in methionine or cysteine biosynthesis in Gram-positive bacteria. The SAM riboswitch acts at the level of transcription termination control. Lineage: Bacteria; Bacillati; Bacillota; Bacilli; Caryophanales; Bacillaceae. The record is from RNAcentral. RNAcentral also lists the same sequence under 1 other name.